UACAGAGGUCUCAAGCGUUGUUCGGAUUCAUUGGGCGUAAAGGGUGUGUAGGUGGCGCCGUAAGUCAGGUGUGAAAUCUCGGGGCUUAACUCCGAAACUGCAUUUGAUACUGCGGUGCUUGAGGACUGGAGAGGAGACUGGAAUUUAUGGUGUAGCAGUGAAAUGCGUAGAUAUCAUAAGGAAGACCAGUGGCGAAGGCGGGUCUCUGGACAGUUCCUGACGCUGAGGCACGAAGGCCAGGGGAGCAAACGGG
Molecule: ribosomal RNA, 253 nt
Filed under: uncultured bacterium
Lineage: Bacteria
Description: partial 16S ribosomal RNA
Rfam family: Bacterial small subunit ribosomal RNA
Source: RNAcentral